GGCGAUGAAGGACGUGCUAAUCUGCGAUAAGCGUCGGUAAGGUGAUAUGAACCGUUAUAACCGGCGAUUUCCGAAUGGGGAAACCCAGUGUGAUUCGUCACACUAUCAUUAACUGAAUCCAUAGGUUAAUGAGGCGAACCGGGGGAACUGAAACAUCUAAGUACCCCGAGGAAAAGAAAUCAACCGAGAUUCCCCCAGUAGCGGCGAGCGAACGGGGAGCAGCCCAGAGCCUGAAUCAGUGUGUGUGUUAGUGGAAGCGUCUGGAAAGGCGUGCGAUACAGGGUGACAGCCCCGUACACAAAAAUGCACAUACUGUGAGCUCGAUGAGUAGGGCGGGACACGUGGUAUCCUGUCUGAAUAUGGGGGGACCAUCCUCCAAGGCUAAAUACUCCUGACUGACCGAUAGUGAACCAGUACCGUGAGGGAAAGGCGAAAAGAACCCCGGCGAGGGGAGUGAAAAAGAACCUGAAACCGUGUACGUACAAGCAGUGGGAGCACGCUUAGGCGUGUGACUGCGUACCUUUUGUAUAAUGGGUCAGCGACUUAUAUUCUGUAGCAAGGUUAACCGAAUAGGGGAGCCGAAGGGAAACCGAGUCUUAACUGGGCGUUAAGUUGCAGGGUAUAGACCCGAAACCCGGUGAUCUAGCCAUGGGCAGGUUGAAGGUUGGGUAACACUAACUGGAGGACCGAACCGACUAAUGUUGAAAAAUUAGCGGAUGACUUGUGGCUGGGGGUGAAAGGCCAAUCAAACCGGGAGAUAGCUGGUUCUCCCCGAAAGCUAUUUAGGUAGCGCCUCGUGAAUUCAUCUCCGGGGGUAGAGCACUGUUUCGGCAAGGGGGUCAUCCCGACUUACCAACCCGAUGCAAACUGCGAAUACCGGAGAAUGUUAUCACGGGAGACACACGGCGGGUGCUAACGUCCGUCGUGAAGAGGGAAACAACCCAGACCGCCAGCUAAGGUCCCAAAGUCAUGGUUAAGUGGGAAACGAUGUGGGAAGGCCCAGACAGCCAGGAUGUUGGCUUAGAAGCAGCCAUCAUUUAAAGAAAGCGUAAUAGCUCACUGGUCGAGUCGGCCUGCGCGGAAGAUGUAACGGGGCUAAACCAUGCACCGAAGCUGCGGCAGCGACGCUUAUGCGUUGUUGGGUAGGGGAGCGUUCUGUAAGCCUGUGAAGGUGUGCUGUGAGGUAUGCUGGAGGUAUCAGAAGUGCGAAUGCUGACAUAAGUAACGAUAAAGCGGGUGAAAAGCCCGCUCGCCGGAAGACCAAGGGUUCCUGUCCAACGUUAAUCGGGGCAGGGUGAGUCGACCCCUAAGGCGAGGCCGAAAGGCGUAGUCGAUGGGAAACAGGUUAAUAUUCCUGUACUUGGUGUUACUGCGAAGGGGGGACGGAGAAGGCUAUGUUGGCCGGGCGACGGUUGUCCCGGUUUAAGCGUGUAGGCUGGUUUUCCAGGCAAAUCCGGAAAAUCAAGGCCGAGGCGUGAUGACGAGGCACUACGGUGCUGAAGCAACAAAUGCCCUGCUUCCAGGAAAAGCCUCUAAGCAUCAGGUAACAUCAAAUCGUACCCCAAACCGACACAGGUGGUCAGGUAGAGAAUACCAAGGCGCUUGAGAGAACUCGGGUGAAGGAACUAGGCAAAAUGGUGCCGUAACUUCGGGAGAAGGCACGCUGAUACGUAGGUGAAGCGACUUGCUCGUGGAGCUGAAAUCAGUCGAAGAUACCAGCUGGCUGCAACUGUUUAUUAAAAACACAGCACUGUGCAAACACGAAAGUGGACGUAUACGGUGUGACGCCUGCCCGGUGCCGGAAGGUUAAUUGAUGGGGUUAGCGCAAGCGAAGCUCUUGAUCGAAGCCCCGGUAAACGGCGGCCGUAACUAUAACGGUCCUAAGGUAGCGAAAUUCCUUGUCGGGUAAGUUCCGACCUGCACGAAUGGCGUAAUGAUGGCCAGGCUGUCUCCACCCGAGACUCAGUGAAAUUGAACUCGCUGUGAAGAUGCAGUGUACCCGCGGCAAGACGGAAAGACCCCGUGAACCUUUACUAUAGCUUGACACUGAACAUUGAGCCUUGAUGUGUAGGAUAGGUGGGAGGCUUUGAAGUGUGGACGCCAGUCUGCAUGGAGCCGACCUUGAAAUACCACCCUUUAAUGUUUGAUGUUCUAACGUGGACCCGUGAUCCGGGUUGCGGACAGUGUCUGGUGGGUAGUUUGACUGGGGCGGUCUCCUCCUAAAGAGUAACGGAGGAGCACGAAGGUUGGCUAAUCCUGGUCGGACAUCAGGAGGUUAGUGCAAUGGCAUAAGCCAGCUUGACUGCGAGCGUGACGGCGCGAGCAGGUGCGAAAGCAGGUCAUAGUGAUCCGGUGGUUCUGAAUGGAAGGGCCAUCGCUCAACGGAUAAAAGGUACUCCGGGGAUAACAGGCUGAUACCGCCCAAGAGUUCAUAUCGACGGCGGUGUUUGGCACCUCGAUGUCGGCUCAUCACAUCCUGGGGCUGAAGUAGGUCCCAAGGGUAUGGCUGUUCGCCAUUUAAAGUGGUACGCGAGCUGGGUUUAGAACGUCGUGAGACAGUUCGGUCCCUAUCUGCCGUGGGCGCUGGAGAACUGAGGGGGGCUGCUCCUAGUACGAGAGGACCGGAGUGGACGCAUCACUGGUGUUCGGGUUGUCAUGCCAAUGGCACUGCCCGGUAGCUAAAUGCGGAAGAGAUAAGUGCUGAAAGCAUCUAAGCACGAAACUUGCCCCGAGAUGAGUUCUCCCUGACCCUUUAAGGGUCCUGAAGGAACGUUGAAGACGACGACGUUGAUAGGCCGGGUGUGUAAGCGCAGCGAUGCGUUGAGCUAACCGGUACUAAUGAACCGUGAGGCUUAACCUU
RNAcentral lists this ribosomal RNA (2860 nucleotides) under Escherichia coli. Its description in RNAcentral is "partial 23S ribosomal RNA". It matches the Rfam family "Bacterial large subunit ribosomal RNA". The record is from RNAcentral. Lineage: Bacteria; Pseudomonadati; Pseudomonadota; Gammaproteobacteria; Enterobacterales; Enterobacteriaceae.